UAUUCAUUGAGAAUUGAGAGGAAUUCUUCAGCUGAGCUUCGAUUUUCUAGUACUCGACGGGCAGCCGGUGUAAAUGUAUUGAAAAGGAUAAGAUAUAUCCCAGAAUUAAUCGUAGAUAUAUAGGACCUGAAGCAAUCUAUUUAUACAACAUGCACUUAGAUUCAUCGAUAAAAAAUUUCAGGGGGCGGGAGGUUGCUGAUACGGCAUGCUUGAUGGAGGAAGCGGUGGCUGCAAGUUGACGUGAGCUUUGGCCGGAGGCGAUACCGAAGAAAUCGGCGAAAACGAAGAUGGAGGAGGUGGAGGGCUCGAAGAAGCUACCUCGGCCGAACGCUCGAACAAAGCAGGCGGAGGUGGAGUCGCUAUUACCCACUGGCGUCCGCGAUUGCCGACUGGCACGGGAGGAGAACGGGGUGACCGCCCCCUCUUGCUCUCAUUGUAUACACGGUCGCUCAUGACCCGAACAGCGCUGCCAGUUGAAAUGAGAGCAUAGAAUGCCAACAACAAUCCCAGGAGCGGUUUCAUGGUGGAGUUUCAAGGAAAAAAGCCAAUUGUAUUGAUU
This 559-nucleotide long non-coding RNA is filed under the name Phoenix dactylifera (date palm). Its description in RNAcentral is "long non-coding RNA (PDAC_LNC006963)". The record is from RNAcentral. Lineage: Eukaryota; Viridiplantae; Streptophyta; Magnoliopsida; Arecales; Arecaceae.